CUCUGAGAUCUUUGAUGCUUGAACGUUUGACUCGUCGGAGUCGUCAACAAGUGUUCGUACUCGUUCAAAACCGCAUCCAUGUUUUUCGAACAGCUAGCAAAAGGAAUCGUUCUAAUCUUGUAAGGCGGACAGUGACAAGAAGGACAGUGUUGCACCUGAUCUUUUGUUCUUCUACGCCUCCUUCCAAAUUCCGAUGGCCCCACCUCAGUCCAUGGCUGGUUACACUUUAAACAACACUUGUGUUUCAAAUCGUGAUGCGAUUCACCCUGUUUUCGUCGAACGUCGUGGUAUUUCUGCACCGGGUAGCAUUCCUCAGUCUCCUAAACAGGCGUCAUUGAAUUAAUUAUUUUUAAUUAUUAAUUAAGACCGUAUUGACUAUGAUCGUCUAAUGACGACCGAUACGUACAUCGAAAAAUCAAUCCUCAAACGAGUGACUUUUUUUAAACGGGAUAAAACAUUUUGAAAUUAAUGAUUUUAAUUCUUUAAAAGGAUGAAAUAAAAGGUUCAUUCAAGUAGGAGCGGACCAUUUCUUCGAUCGUAUCGUUUACAUACAUUCGAAUUACAAUGCAAUAAAUAUCGUAUCGUGAUAAUGGGAUAGCAUAUAUGAGUGAAAUGGCAACAUUUGCAUUUAAGGGUUAAUUAAUGAGUAAACCCUAACCGUUUCUGUAUCUGGUCGUUCCAUAAUCUUGCUGACGUCAGAAUCUCCCGUGGAAUUCGCAUCUGCCCACGUCCCGGACAACCCGGAUUCCCAUAAGAUCAAGUUCACCUUCGUUCAUAAUAAGAUCUGCUGUUCUGUUUAAUGUUGUUCUUCCAUCGAAGAAAAUUGACGAAAGAGAAAAAGGGAAGAAAUACAGAGAAGGUAAAGUUCGUGUUCUGAUAUAAAAAGCACGGAACGUGUGUUAUAAAAAAAAAAAAAAAAAAGAAUUGACUUGCACUGUCAUCUCUGAAAUCUAGCGCUAAAGUAGGCACUGGAAAAAUGUGUAAUAUUUAAAAAUUUGUAAUAUUCGCGAUAAACACUGCGAGUAAAGGGGAAGAUGGAGAAUUGUUUUUGAAAUAAACUUUUUUAUACUGCAAA
Bombus terrestris (buff-tailed bumblebee) is the source of this 1075-nucleotide long non-coding RNA. RefSeq lists it as uncharacterized. Lineage: Eukaryota; Metazoa; Arthropoda; Insecta; Hymenoptera; Apidae. The transcript has 2 exons. The record is from RefSeq and is a predicted model, not a curated record.